This 452-nucleotide ribosomal RNA is filed under the name uncultured bacterium. RNAcentral's name for it is "bacterial SSU rRNA". It matches the Rfam family "Bacterial small subunit ribosomal RNA", at positions 8 to 507 of the family's 1533-position model. The record is from RNAcentral.
AGAGUUUGAUCAUGGCUCAGAACGAACGCUGGCGGCAUGCCUAACACAUGCAAGUCGAACGAAGCCUUCGGGCUUAGUGGCGCACGGGUGCGUAACGCGUGGGAAUCUGCCCUUGGGUUCGGAAUAACAGUUAGAAAUGACUGCUAAUACCGAAUGAUGUCUUCGGACCAAAGAUUUAUCGCCCAAGGAUGAGCCCGCGUCGGAUUAGCUAGUUGGUGAGGUAAAGGCUCACCAAGGCGACGAUCCGUAGCUGGUCUGAGAGGGUGAUCAGCCACACUGGGACUGAGACACGGCCCAGACUCCUACGGGAGGCAGCAGUGGGGAAUAUUGGACAAUGGGCGAAAGCCUGAUCCAGCAAUGCCGCGUGAGUGAUGAAGGCCUUAGGGUUGUAAAGCUCUUUACCCGGGAUGAUAAUGACAGUACCGGGAGAAUAAGCCCCGGCUAACUCCGUG